This 404-nucleotide ribosomal RNA is filed under the name Actinomycetes bacterium. Its description in RNAcentral is "Actinobacteria bacterium partial 16S ribosomal RNA". It matches the Rfam family "Bacterial small subunit ribosomal RNA", at positions 355 to 776 of the family's 1533-position model. RNAcentral also lists the same sequence under 2 other names. The record is from RNAcentral. Lineage: Bacteria; Bacillati; Actinomycetota; Actinomycetes.
UGGGGAAUCUUAGACAAUGGGGGCAACCCUGAUCUAGCCAUGCCGCGUGAGUGAUGAAGGCCUUAGGGUUGUAAAGCUCUUUCAGCUGGGAAGAUAAUGACGGUACCAGCAGAAGAAGCCCCGGCUAACUCCGUGCCAGCAGCCGCGGUAAUACGGAGGGGGCUAGCGUUGUUCGGAAUUACUGGGCGUAAAGCGCACGUAGGCGGACCAGAAAGUUGGGGGUGAAAUCCCGGGGCUCAACCCCGGAACUGCCUUCAAAACUAUUGGUCUGGAGUUCGAGAGAGGUGAGUGGAAUACCGAGUGUAGAGGUGAAAUUCGUAGAUAUUCGGUGGAACACCAGUGGCGAAGGCGGCUCACUGGCUCGAUACUGACGCUGAGGUGCGAAAGCGUGGGGAGCAAACAGG